GGCUCAAUGGUCUAGUAGUAUGAUUCCUGCUUCGGGUUAUGCCCCCACGAACUAGUGGAAUAUGCAGGAGGUCCCGGGUUCAAUUCCCGGUUGAGCCC
Non-coding RNA from Vararia minispora EC-137, 98 nucleotides. The record is from the annotation of a GenBank genome assembly. NCBI's taxonomy places the organism in Eukaryota, Fungi, Basidiomycota, Agaricomycetes, Russulales, Lachnocladiaceae.